CGGCCGCGUCGACGUACGGUAGGUAUUGUCUAAGUCGUUUAUUCCGGUAAUUGUAUUUGGGUCGUUAAAGUCGUUCCGUCAGGUUGGUCAGUUUCAAGUCUGCUGUCAAAGACCGGGGCUUAACUUCGGAAAGGCAGUGGAAACUGAACAGCUAGAGUAUGGUAGGGGCAGAGGGAAUUCCUGGUGUAGCGGUGAAAUGCGUAGAGAUCAGGAAGAACAUCGGUGGCGAAGGCGCUCUGCUGGACCAUAACUGACACUCAGGGACGAAAGCUAGGGGAGCGAAUGGGAUUAGAUACCCCAGUAGUCCUAGCCGUAAACGAUGGAUACUAGGUGUUGUCUGUAUCGACCCGGACAGUGCCGUAGCUAACGCGUUAAGUAUCCCGCCUGGGGAGUACGCACGCAGGUGUGAAACUCAAAGGAAUUGACGGGGUCCCGCACAAGCGGUGGAGUAUGUGGUUUAAUUCGAUGCAACGCGAAGAACCGUUACCAGGACUUGACAUGUCGCGAAUCCAGUGGAAACACAGGAGUGCCUUCGGGGAGCGCGAACACAGGUGGUGCUAG
RNAcentral lists this ribosomal RNA (561 nucleotides) under uncultured bacterium. RNAcentral describes it as "bacterial SSU rRNA". It matches the Rfam family "Bacterial small subunit ribosomal RNA", at positions 1 to 1047 of the family's 1533-position model. The record is from RNAcentral.